Molecule: non-coding RNA, 23 nt
Filed under: Arabidopsis thaliana (thale cress)
Lineage: Eukaryota; Viridiplantae; Streptophyta; Magnoliopsida; Brassicales; Brassicaceae
Also listed under: 4 other names
Source: RNAcentral
UCUAGUAGCUGGUUCCCUCCGAA